Molecule: ribosomal RNA, 252 nt
Filed under: uncultured bacterium
Lineage: Bacteria
Description: partial 16S ribosomal RNA
Rfam family: Bacterial small subunit ribosomal RNA
Source: RNAcentral
GACAGAGGCCCCGAGCGUUAAUCGGAAUCACUGGGCUUAAAGGGUGCGUAGGCCGGCCCGCAAGUGCUUCGUGAAAGCCCACGGCUCAACCGUGGAACAGCGGGGCAUACUGCGGGUCUGAGGCAGGUAGGGGUCGCGAGAACAGUAGGUGGAGCGGUGAAAUGCGUAGAUAUCUACUGGAAUGCCGAUGGUGAAGACGCGCGACUGGGCCUGUCCUGACGCUGAGGCACGAAAGCGUGGGGAGCAAACAGG